AAACAAUCAGAGUAGGACUAGGCGUUCAAAGGAGAACCUCUUAUGGCAUGCACGUCGUGACCAUACAAAAUGACAGGUAAUAGAUUGAAUAUUUUCUGACUCAUUUUCAUCAGAUUAUUUCAAAUCAACAUAAAAGAAGCAUUCCGCUGACAAAACUUAUCAUCUAGAAAUCAUUUAAUGUUUGUUUAACAUUAUCAUAUGUAAAUCAUGAAGAAAACAAUUUACAAUGCAUAUUACUUUACUGAUAUAAAGAUCUGAAAUCUGAAUUGACUUUCCCUUUCAACAAAUAUUAUAUACCUAUAGAAUGGAAUUGUACAUUUGUACGAAUGGAACAAAAGAAUUAUGACCCUUUUUGGUAAAAUACUUAGAAAUAUAAAAAUAUGAACUCCAUGCAAACAAAUUUCAUUCGUCCUUUAUUCAUAUAGUUAUAAAAAAAUGCCUUUUACUGAAUUAACCAUUUUAUUUUCAAACGGAACAGAUAUUUUCUAAUCGACGCGAUAUUCCCGGGCUUGUAUUUUCAUCAAGAAUUCCUUGAAAGAGUGUUGUUGUUCAAAGGAAGAGUUUCAAUGGCAAAGUUGAAAUCAUCCCUUCGCAAUUUUUACGGACGCCAUCCCGAAUUGGUUGAUCGUUACGGAAUAUUCGAUUCAUGGAUGCUAUUGGAUGUGUCAUAUAUAUAAUCUCAUUUCCUUUUCACGAAGGUGACCUACCGAUUUAGACUAUUUACCGUGUUUGUUAUAUCAUGAGCAACUCGACUGGUGCCACAUGUGUAGUAGGAACUACUUACCUGUCAUAAGCUCCUGAGAUCACUACCAGUUUGUGUUGGGGUUCGUUCUGCUAAGUCUUUAGUUUUCUAUGUUAUGUCUUGUAUACUAUUUUUUGUCAGUUUGUCUUUUUUUCCUUGUCAGCCAUGGCGUUGUCGGUUUAUUUUCUAUCUAGGAGUUUGAAUGUCCCCCUGGUAUUCGCCCGUCUUUUAUAAAUGUUGUCGUUGACCUCAGAUACAUUUUAUGGAUCAUUUAUAUUUGUAUAUUUUAUAUAGAAAAUUAUAACAUAUAUCUUAUUGACCUAGAUGAGAUCAAUAAUAUUUUUAUUUUUCAUUUCUAAAUCUUGUUAUGGUGGUAACAGUGAAAUUUUAAUUGCUAUUUUGAGCAAAAAAAUCAUAAUUUUACAAUAAAUUCGCCCUCAAGUUUAUUGCUCUUAUUAAUAAUUUUUUCCCAAAAUAGCAGUUAUUCUGAAAUAACAUGACUACCAAAGCAUUAAUAGUCGUUUCUAAAAUUUAUAAGACGUUACAAUUGUAGCUUCAAAUAUUUUGAAGUGACAGGAGAUCCGAUGUGAGAAAUAAGAAAAUAAAAAAUAUGCGGGAGAAAGCCAGAACAGGUUGAUGGACUACUAUCAAUAUUAAUUAUGUCCACCGCUCUUUAAUAAGAAGUUGUCGUGUUAUGUCGUAAACGUAUGUUGAAAAUGCGCGUCUGGCCUAUUAAAUUAUAAUUCUGGUACCUUUGAUAACUAUAUACAGACUAGUCUCAUUUUCAAACUGACCAUUAUUCCAUGCGUUCAUCGUGUAUCGUGCGUGUUGCGUGCGUGUAUCGUGUUUGUUCCAAUUGUGCGCUCAUCAUUCAUCGUUCCGUGUAUUUUCCGUGAAACGUGCGUGCAUCGUUUAUUCUUAAUCGUGUAUCGUGCGUGUAUCGUGCGCUCAUAAAUUCUUCAUUCUUAACCGUGUAUCGUGCGUUCAUCAAUCAUUCAUUCUUAACCGUGUAUCGUGCGCUCGUCAAUCCUUCAUUCUUAACUGUGUAUCGUGUAUAACUGUGUACAUAAGAUAAUGUGCAUCUCUUCAAGUAGACAAACCGUAUUCAAUGAUAAAAAACUAGUUAGCUGAAAUUUCAAAACAUUUUAAUGAAUUGUCUAUUUAAAUUCAGUAUCCUUAGUGUAGUAGCACUUUUUGAUUUACAAAAUAUGUUAAUUAGGAUUACAUGUAUAUCAAAUGCUGACUAACGCAUAAUUACUCUAAUGAAAAUACAUUUGUAUAUAUCUCCUAAGGACCAUUACAAGCAUUUAAAUCUUGUAAGAAAUCUAAGACCCAAACCCGAAAAAUGCUUCUAUUUAGACGUCAGCAAAACGAUUCAGUCUCUCGUGAUUUUUUAAUAGCUUUCUUUUCUGUAAUAAAGUAUGUUUGACAUAUUUCACAAGAGAAUACAUGAUACUACUAAGAACGAGUUUCGUUAGCCAGUCGGUUAUCGAAUUUGACCAUUUUCAUGUUAAAUCAGUAUCACAAAUGGUCGUUACGAAUCGAAUCAAUCAUAUGAUUCCGUAUAUUGGUUCGUUUCAGUCCAUUUUAUUUUCAUCUCACUUUUUACGAAACUAUGCAAGCAUUUUUUGUGUAUUAUAAGUGCACAUAAUAAAUUCCUCGGAUACAUUUUUUCCACAUUUAUAUCAACAAUUUUUCAAGCAGUUGUGUGUUCACAUUACCCUUAUGCUACAUCAAAGACAAAUUUAAAAUAGAUUUUAAGAAAUUGAUAUAGUUAAAUCAAGAUUUUGUAAGGGUUCCGCGGAACCAUAUGUCUCGCCUAAUUUUGCUUUUAGGCAAAGGCAUGGGGAAAAACAUUAUUGACAAUUUUCGUCUAGAUACUAUCCUUUAAAUAUUGUAAAAAAGAGUCUGUUUAAGUUUGGUAAAAAUCUAGGAUGGUUUAUGAAUCUAAGAAAUGUUUUUAAAACUUUAACUGCAGACUGUAGUUAACUGGAAGAAAAACUACGCCCAUUUAUAAGAAGUAAACGGAAAAACAAGAAACAAAUAUUUACAUCAUACAACUUUUAAUGAUAAACAAGCUUCUAUCGAAGUAUGGUUCAAAUCAAGGAUAGUUUAUGACAAAUUUAACCACAGAGUGAAUGUAAUGUUAACUGGCAAAGUCCAUUUAUCAGUAAAAUUCGGAUAAACCACAUUGGUUUUUUUUUUUACAAAAUUUACGUCUUGAUCCUUUUUAUAAACAUACUGAUGCCCAAGUUUAGUAAAAAUCCAGGAAAUUUUAAGAAAGUUAUUAAGAUUUUAAAAACUUUUACCACAGAGUGAAUGUAAUGUUGAUUGACAGAAAAACUGAGACGGUUUAUGAGUUAAUUACAGAUAAAUCCAAUUAUUUUUUUUUUAAAUGUACUUCUUGAUACUUUCAUAUGAUCAUAAACAAGCUUCUGUUCGAGUUUGGUAUAAAUGCUGAAUAGUUUAAGAACGUUAUUAGAAUUUCAAAAUCUUUUACCACAGAUUGGAUAUUUGUGGACGCCGACGAAGGUAAGUAAAACAGCUAUGUCUCGUUUUUUGCGACAAUAGUCGCAGGCUCAAGAAACAUGGUAUAAUCUGCCAACCCUAACAAAGCACCUAACUUAAAUUCUCAAAGAAUGAUUAUGUUUUAGUAAAUGAUUCGUGUGUCUCAGGAUUUAUUGUCUAUAUCGUCGUACUCUGUUUUGACAGUUGUUUGUCUUUUGAUUGCGUUUUAAUUACUUUAUUUUUCUUCUUUGCGUUGUUAGAUUGUCUUCGACUUGUGAGUCUGUUUUUACAGCCAAUAUAGUCAUAGUUAAAGUUCAUUCCUUGUUAAAAUACAUUUACAUCCAACUUCUCAUUGAAGAUGAAUUAGAAUAGAAGUUAUGUGAUGAUAUUAGUAUGGUGAACAAGGUAUAGUAUUCCCUAUGAUAAAUAUCACCUUAAUGAUCUCUUUUUUUCAGACACGGACACAAAAAACAUUUCAUUAGCACUGUAUCGUUAUAUGCGCCAGAACAUAACUGGAACAGAGAAUUAUGUCAAAACACUUAGACUCAUGAAUAAAGUCACGGAUAGUAUGAAAAGCACCGACAAUUUAACUUACAUCACAAAAUAGAGGGACGUGCUCGUGAAAUACUUCUAGAUAAACUGCAUACCAUACAUAGUUACGGAUGGCGAUGCAUCUUUUUUUCAGAUCAGUUAUCUAAGUUUUAUGUAUCUAUGUGGAUGUUACACACCGAAC
Molecule: long non-coding RNA, 3983 nt
Filed under: Mytilus galloprovincialis (Mediterranean mussel)
Lineage: Eukaryota; Metazoa; Mollusca; Bivalvia; Mytilida; Mytilidae
Source: RNAcentral